RNAcentral lists this ribosomal RNA (240 nucleotides) under uncultured bacterium. Its description in RNAcentral is "partial 16S ribosomal RNA". The record is from RNAcentral.
CUGCUGCCUCCCGUAGGAGUCUGGGCCGUAUCUCAGUCCCAAUGUGGCCGUUCAACCUCUCAGUCCGGCUACUGAUCGUUGACUUGGUAGGCCGUUACCCCACCAACUAUCUAAUCAGACGCAAGCCCAUCUGUUAGCGGAUUGCUCCUUUCCCACUAAUAUCAUGUGAUAUCUAUGGCAUAUGCGGUAUUAGCAAUGAUUUCUCAUUGUUAUUCCCCUCUAACAGGUAGGUUGCUUACG